Molecule: ribosomal RNA, 489 nt
Filed under: uncultured Oscillospiraceae bacterium
Lineage: Bacteria; Bacillati; Bacillota; Clostridia; Eubacteriales; Oscillospiraceae
Description: bacterial SSU rRNA
Rfam family: Bacterial small subunit ribosomal RNA
Source: RNAcentral
GAACGCUGGACGGCGUGACUUAACACAUCGCAAGGUCGAACGGGGUGGCCCUUUGUAAAAGAGGAAUUCGUCCAAAUUGUAGAAGGUUACCGUAGUGGCGGACGGGUGAGUAACGCGUGAGUAACCUGCCUUGGAUGGGGAUAACACAUCGAAAGAUGUGCUAAUACCGCAUAAUGCAGUUGGGCCGCAUGGCUCUGACUGCCAAAGAUUUAUCGCUCUGAGAUGGACUCGCGUCUGAUUAGCUGGUUGCGGGGUAACGGCCCACCAAGGCGACGAUCAGUAGCCGGACUGAGAGGUUGACCGGCCACAUUGGGACUGAGACACGGCCCAGACUCCUACGGGAGGCAGCAGUGGGGAAUAUUGGGCAAUGGGCGCAAGCCUGACCCAGCAACGCCGCGUGAAGGAAGAAGGCUUUCGGGUUGUAAACUUCUCUUAUCAGGGACGAAGCAAGUGACGGUACCUGAUGAAUAAGCCACGGCUAACUACGUG